Non-coding RNA from Agelaius phoeniceus (red-winged blackbird), 2111 nucleotides. The record is from RefSeq and is a predicted model, not a curated record. NCBI's taxonomy places the organism in Eukaryota, Metazoa, Chordata, Aves, Passeriformes, Icteridae.
UGAUUUUCCAAGCGCCCUCGUGGCCCUGGCGGCACUGAAAGCCCCACAGGCAGUGGGGGAAGCUGGAGGGUUCUUGGCCAAAGGGCUUUGCUUGGUGCCCAAAGGUGCCCUUGCUCCUAGUGCUGCUGCAGGAGGAUGAACUUUGGGAAUUCCUGCAGCAAAGGGAGCUGGGCUGCAGUCAGAAGGAGAAAUGCUGCGGGGCUGCUACUCCAGAGAUGGUUUGGGGUGAGAAGAUGCAUCACAGACUCGCUGCCUUUGCUGGGGACUGGGCUCAGUGGGAGGCAGAGGAGAACCAAGGGUGAGCUGAUCUCACCACAUCUCAGCUGAUGAACAGAGAGGUUUUUACUACACCUUGAACUGCAAAUUUGGGUACAUUUAUGAGCGAGUCACAUUUGCAGUUUGCCGGCCCUGAGUUAAUGCCACUUGUGAAUGAAAGCCAAUAAUGACAAUCUGAUUGAUGAACACAUAAAUCAGCUCUGCUGUGAUAAAUAGAGCCCAUUUUCUACAUUCAGUGGUUCCUGUCACCACUUAUGACAAAGACAAAAUUUAAUCAGAUGUGGGUAAAAGACUAACUCAGUCUAUACUCGAGUAAAUUUCCUAAAGAAUGGGAAUCUCCAUCCCGGAAAAUCUUGGACAGCAGGAAUCAUCUGGACUCAUCCUGUGCACAAACAAAGCCUCUGUGUUAGUAUUUCACACUAAACAAAAAGAACCAUCUAAACCAUCAAAAUGCACCUUCUCCUGCCCUUUCCAAGAGCACCUCCAUGAUCAUCCAGGCUGCAGGUUCCAGUUCACAGUUCUCAGCCCCUUGAAGCUUUAUUCUCUCCCUUGGGAAAUGCUGCCUUGAGAGUCCCCUUGGAUCUGCUCAAGGGAUUUGGGACUAAAGCUCUACCUAAUGGAUGCAAAGAUGGCAGAAUGAGAUACGUUGUCUCCUCAGACACAUCCUCUGAAAAAGGCUCUAGUGAAGAAUAUAAGUGAACACAAGCAAAUUUUCAGUGGCCAUGUCAGACAAAGACAGAGGACAACUGGCUUGAAAAGCCCUUUAGAUUAGAAGUACAUCAAACUUUCGCGAUGGAAUUGCAAAACGUGCCCUGGAGACUUCCAUCCUCUCCCAGCUCUGCUCAGCAGCUCCACACGUGUCCAACCACAGACCUGCCCUGCGCUCCAGCUCAAGCUAAAAAUGAGAUGGGACCAUGUAGAAAAGAACUUCACACCAGAGGCUACAGACAUGUUCAAACUAUGCCACUGAAAUCUAAAUGCAGAUUUUGUUCAGAGAUUCAAAUGCUCUCCCUAAAUUCAUAACCCCCUGGAAAUGAGCAAAAUGAGAAGGUUCAAUUGAAUUUUCUGUUUAUCAUUUGAAGCUUCAAGCUGGAAGUAGCAUCAAAAGGCUCUGACAGCCCCUGAAAAGAAAAGAACGGAAUAAGGAUAAGUUGCAAGUGGCGCAGGGCAGGAGCGGACACCACGAAACCACCAAGAACAACGGGGUUGGGGUGUUUGACAACAGACACACUGCAGCUGCAGCCUCCAGGGCUGGAGCCCAAAGCAGCUUCCUCCACACCCUUGUCCUCCAGAAAUGCCAGCAGGAAAUACAAGCUCACAGCAAAGCUCGGCAGGGAGUAGCUCUGUGAGGAAGCUUCCCUGUGAUGCCAGUCAACAAGUUUAUCAAAUUUCAGGUGACAAAGUCACCACUACACUCUAUCUGCGUCAGCAAGAAAGAUGGACAGGAACGUGAAGUCUCAGAGAGCAUCUGCUACAUGGGAACAGGAGAGCUGGCUCUCUGCAGCACCCUGCCGAGGUCUCAGCCCUCUGAAGCUGUGCCAGUGCCUUGACCCAGACACCAGCCUUCCCAGUGAGGCUAGUCCUAAGGAACUGAUUGAUUGUGACUUCUGAAGGGCCACACAGAGCCACCCACAGCUUUUAUGGUGCCUACAUCAUUGCUCCUUACCAGCAGCCUCCUUAUGGGAAAAACCCCCUACAUCCAGCUUUGCAGAGAUGUGGAGAGGUGCCCUGCAUGAAGUGCUUCAUUCCCUUCUCCAUCACCGAGUCUCAUCACAAACAGCUGUAAAAAUGCUCUACCAAGCAACAUGUCUAAUAAACUUUCAUUACAAAAGCCA